RNAcentral lists this transfer RNA (144 nucleotides) under uncultured Cytophagales MB11E04. RNAcentral's name for it is "tRNA-Ala". The stretch from base 1 to 74 matches the Rfam family "tRNA". From Rfam's summary of the family: Transfer RNA (tRNA) molecules are approximately 80 nucleotides in length. Their secondary structure includes four short double-helical elements and three loops (D, anti-codon, and T loops). Lineage: Bacteria; Pseudomonadati; Bacteroidota; Sphingobacteriia; Sphingobacteriales. The record is from RNAcentral.
GGGGGAUUAGCUCAGCUGGCUAGAGCGCCUGCCUUGCACGCAGGAGGUCAUCGGUUCGACUCCGAUAUUCUCCACAAAGGUUUUUUAAACCGCACGUUCAUUGACAUAUUGAAUUAUUUAAGAUACAUAAAAAUAAAAGGUAUA